CGUUAGAGUGAAUGCAGGAUUCCAGGUCUAAGACCGGAGAUGAAUGCAGAUAUACCUGACGACUGCCGCCUGUCGACUGACGACCGAAUAGUGGCGGACGGGUGAGUAACGCGUGGAUAACCUGCCCACAAGCCUGGGAUAACGCCGGGAAACUGGUGCUAAUACCGGAUAAGUUCUUUGGGGUGCAUGCCUUGGAGAAGANNGGGGAAACCCGCUUAUGGAUGGAUCCGCGUCCCAUUAGCUAGUUGGUGGGGUAACGGCCUACCAAGGCGACGAUGGGUAGCCGGCCUGAGAGGGUGGCCGGCCACACUGGGACUGAGACACGGCCCAGACUCCUACGGGAGGCAGCAGUGGGGAAUCUUCCGCAAUGGGCGAAAGCCUGACGGAGCAACGCCGCGUGAGUGACGAAGGCCCU
RNAcentral lists this ribosomal RNA (415 nucleotides) under uncultured Bacillota bacterium. RNAcentral describes it as "bacterial SSU rRNA". It matches the Rfam family "Bacterial small subunit ribosomal RNA", at positions 1 to 418 of the family's 1533-position model. Lineage: Bacteria; Bacillati; Bacillota. The record is from RNAcentral.